This 45-nucleotide ribosomal RNA is filed under the name Symbiodinium sp. Pd5.12. Its description in RNAcentral is "partial 24S ribosomal RNA". Lineage: Eukaryota; Dinophyceae; Suessiales; Symbiodiniaceae. The record is from RNAcentral.
CAUGAAGUCAGACAAGUGAACCCGCUGAAUUUAAGCAUAUCAAUA